Molecule: ribosomal RNA, 672 nt
Filed under: uncultured Actinomycetes bacterium
Lineage: Bacteria; Bacillati; Actinomycetota; Actinomycetes
Description: bacterial SSU rRNA
Rfam family: Bacterial small subunit ribosomal RNA
Source: RNAcentral
GAGUAACCUGCCCCGAUGACCGGGACAACCCGAGGAAACUCGGGCUAAUACCGGAUGUGGUGCACAGUCAUAAGUCUGUGUACUAAAGGAAGCUUCGGCCUCCGCAUUGGGAGGGGCUCGCGGCCCAUUAGCUUGUUGGUGGGGUUACGGCCUACCAAGGCAACGAUGGGUAGCUGGUCUGAGAGGACGAUCAGCCACACUGGGACUGAGACACGGCCCAGACUCCUACGGGAGGCAGCAGUGGGGAAUCUUGCGCAAUGCGCGAAAGCGUGACGCAGCAACGCCGCGUGGGGGAAGACGGCCUUCGGGUUGUAAACCCCUUUCAGGAGGGACGAAGGUUCGCCGGUGAAUAGCCGUGCGGAUUGACGGUACCUUCAGAAGAAGCUCCGGCUAACUACGUGCCAGCAGCCGCGGUAAUACGUAGGGAGCAAGCGUUGUCCGGAAUCAUUGGGCGUAAAGCGCGCGUAGGCGGCCCUGUAAGUCCGUUGUGAAAGUCAAAGGCUCAACCUUUGAAAGCCGAUGGAUACUGCAGGGCUAGAGUCCGGAAGAGGCGAGUGGAAUUCCUGGUGUAGCGGUGGAAUGCGCAGAUAUCAGGAGGAACACCAAUAGCGAAGGCAGCUCGCUGGGACGGUACUGACGCUAAGGCGCGAAAGCGUGGGGAGCGAACAGGAU